This 253-nucleotide ribosomal RNA is filed under the name uncultured bacterium. RNAcentral's name for it is "partial 16S ribosomal RNA". It matches the Rfam family "Bacterial small subunit ribosomal RNA", at positions 524 to 776 of the family's 1533-position model. RNAcentral also lists the same sequence under 1 other name. The record is from RNAcentral.
UACGAAGGGGGCUAGCGUUGUUCGGAAUCACUGGGCGUAAAGCGCGCGUAGGCGGGUCGUUAAGUCGGGGGUGAAAUCCCGAGGCUCAACCUCGGAACUGCCUUCGAUACUGACGACCUUGAGUCCGGGAGAGGUGAGUGGAACUCCUAGUGUAGAGGUGAAAUUCGUAGAUAUUAGGAAGAACACCAGUGGCGAAGGCGGCUCACUGGCCCGGUACUGACGCUGAUGUGCGAAAGCGUGGGGAGCAAACAGG